AUUGAACGCUGGCGGCAGGCCUAACACAUGCAAGUCGAGCGGAUGAAGGGAGCUUGCUCCUGGAUUCAGCGGCGGACGGGUGAGCAAUGCCUAGGAAUCUGCCUGGUAGUGGGGGAGAACGUCCGGAAACGGGCGCUAAUACCGCAUACGCCCUGAGGGAGAAAGUGGGGGAUCUUCGGACCUCACGCUAUCAGAUGAGCCUAGGUCGGAUUAGCUAGUUGGUGGGGUAAAGGCCUACCAAGGCGACGAUCCGUAGCUGGUCUGAGAGGAUGAUCAGUCACACUGGAACUGAGACACGGUCCAGACUCCUACGGGAGGCAGCAGUGGGGAAUAUUGGACAAUGGGCGAAAGCCUGAUCCAGCCAUGCCGCGUGUGUGAAGAAGGUCUUCGGAUUGUAAAGCACUUUUAGUUGGGAGGAAGGGCAGUAAGUUAAUACCUUGCUGUUUUGACGUUACCAACAGAAUAAGCACCGGCUAACUUCGUG
Molecule: ribosomal RNA, 484 nt
Filed under: uncultured bacterium
Lineage: Bacteria
Description: partial 16S ribosomal RNA
Rfam family: Bacterial small subunit ribosomal RNA
Source: RNAcentral